GCCCUCGUAGCCCAACAUAGGUAGAGGUGUCGCACUCAGAAUGCGAAGGUUGUCGGUUCGAUCCCGACCGAGGGCACCA
This 79-nucleotide transfer RNA is filed under the name compost metagenome. RNAcentral's name for it is "tRNA-Ser". It matches the Rfam family "tRNA". Rfam says of the family: Transfer RNA (tRNA) molecules are approximately 80 nucleotides in length. The record is from RNAcentral.